AACGCAUAUUGCGCUCGAGGCUUCGGCCGAGAGCAUGUCUGCCUCAGCGUCGGUCCAUCCCCUCACACCCUCCCGUUGUUUUGCAAAGGGCUGGGCUGUGGAUCUGGCCGUGUCGGCUGCUCCUUGUGGCCGAGUCGGCUGAAGCUCAGAGGCCUGAGCAAGUGCCCAUUCAACCGGGCAUCAACUAGGUGGGUGGCCUUCGGGCUGCGAAGCCGUUGAUGGCCGGGGGACUUGCUGGGGGCCCUGCAGGAACACCGCCUUCCGACAGGAGGGCUGGUGGCUAUCACCUUUCGACCUGAGAUCAGGCAAGAACACCCGCUGAACUUAA
Molecule: unclassified non-coding RNA, 328 nt
Filed under: uncultured fungus
Lineage: Eukaryota; Fungi
Description: partial contains 5.8S ribosomal RNA, internal transcribed spacer 2, and large subunit ribosomal RNA
Source: RNAcentral